UACGUAGGGUGCGAGCGUUAAUCGGAAUUACUGGGCGUAAAGCGUGCGCAGGCGGUUUUGUAAGUCUGACGUGAAAAUCCCCCGGGCUCAACCUGGGAAUUGCGUUGGAGACUGCAAGGCUAGAAUCUGGCAGAGGGGGGUAGAAUUCCACGUGUAGCAGUGAAAUGCGUAGAGAUGUGGAGGAACACCGAUGGCGAAGGCAGCCCCCUGGGUCAAGA
Molecule: ribosomal RNA, 218 nt
Filed under: uncultured bacterium
Lineage: Bacteria
Description: partial 16S ribosomal RNA
Rfam family: Bacterial small subunit ribosomal RNA
Source: RNAcentral